UACUCAUAUUCAGAUGGAGGACACACUUCAGGUCCUUCACACGUGUGAACUGAGCAUAAAGAACCGACACAUGGUCCCUAAACGAUAUUUUAUUCUUAACUUUGUAAAUAAAUUAUAAUGAAUUUCACUGAUUGAGGAGUUUACUUGUUGAAGAUCUUCAGGUCACAUGACUCAAGACGUCCAAGGGAGGAGAUGAUCUGCAGCAUCCUGGUGAUCUUCAUCCUGACCUCCUGUGUCUGUGCAGGGUCAUUUGUAGUGAAUGUGACACAGAGCUGGUAUCAUGCAGAGGAGAACCACAACAUCUCACUGGAAUGGAUGUUCCCCACCAGCACGGACCACUCCACCAACUCCCUUUAUGUCUCCUGUGAGAUGUUAGCUGAUGAGAUACCCUUAGUCCUGUUUGUGCUACAUGAAGGUGUGGAGAUCCCAGAGUAUCAGGAUCAACGCUUUGCAGGACGAGUCCAGUGGGACAAAGACGUCCUCAGAGAAGGACGACUCAGACUUCACAUCUCCAGACUCCAGACUAAUGACUCUGGGCUGUACUGGUGUCAAGUGGACACAAGUUAUGGGAAGAACUAUAAGGAAUGUCACCUCAAUGUCACUGCAGUGAAGGAUCGACCUGAACCUGAGAGAACCAGUGACACCAGUCUGAGAGGAAGGAUCGGUCUCUACUUUGUACUGGGAAUACUGGGACUGACAGCAACUACUGGGUUUUUGUUUAUUAUCUUUUUGCAUUGCAAAAAAAAAGCGAGGAGUUCUGAAUUACAUCCACCUGAGAUACAUUUGGACCUAGUGGCAGAAUGACUGUUAGAUGUUGGAGGUUUGGUCUCCCUCUGACAUCCCCUGCUUCAUUUUGUUCAAUGCUUCACAGAAAACAAGUAUUUAGUCAGCCACCAAUGGUGCAAGUUCUCCCACUUAAAAAGAU
This is a long non-coding RNA of Pungitius pungitius (ninespine stickleback), 925 nucleotides long. RefSeq lists it as uncharacterized. NCBI's taxonomy places the organism in Eukaryota, Metazoa, Chordata, Actinopteri, Perciformes, Gasterosteidae. The record is from RefSeq and is a predicted model, not a curated record. The transcript is spliced from 4 exons.